AACGCUAGCUACAGGCUUAACACAUGCAAGUCGAGGGGCAGCAUCAUCAAAGCUUGCUUUGAUGGAUGGCGACCGGCGCACGGGUGAGUAACACGUAUCCAACCUGCCGACAACACUGGGAUAGCCUUUCGAAAGAAAGAUUAAUACCGGAUGGCAUAGUUUUCCCGCAUGGGAUAAUUAUUAAAGAAUUUCGGUUGUCGAUGGGGAUGCGCUCCAUUAGGCAGUUGGCGGGGUAACGGCCCACCAAACCUACGAUGGAUAGGGGUUCUGAGAGGAAGGUCCCCCACAUUGGAACUGAGACACGGUCCAAACUCCUACGGGAGGCAGCAGUGAGGAAUAUUGGUCAAUGGACGAGAGUCUGAACCAGCCAAGUAGCGUGAAGGAUGACUGCCCUAUGGGUUGUAAACUUCUUUUAUACGGGAAUAAAGUGAGCCACGUGUGGCUUUUUGUAUGUACCGUAUGAAUAAGGAUCGGCUAACUCCGUGCCARCAGCCGCGGUAAUACGGAGGAUCCGAGCGUUAUCCGGAUUUAUUGGGUUUAAAGGGAGCGUAGGCGGGUUGUUAGGUCAGUUGUGAAAGUUUGCGGCUCAACCGUAAAAUUGCAGUUGAUACUGGCGACCUUGAGCGCAACAGAGGUAGGCGGAAUUCGUGGUGUAGCGGUGAAAUGCUUAGAUAUCACGAAGAACUCCGAUUG
This 693-nucleotide ribosomal RNA is filed under the name uncultured Bacteroidales bacterium. RNAcentral describes it as "bacterial SSU rRNA". It matches the Rfam family "Bacterial small subunit ribosomal RNA", at positions 32 to 715 of the family's 1533-position model. Lineage: Bacteria; Pseudomonadati; Bacteroidota; Bacteroidia; Bacteroidales. The record is from RNAcentral.